CGGACGGAAGAGAUAAAUGUUUAUCAAAAAGAAUAGAUUCAUGCGUUCUUUUAUAAUGAAGAAUAUGAAUAGCUUCAGCCUGAAAGUUCACACAGUCUUAAAUUAUUCUCAAUUUAUAAGAUCUUUGUGAGUUGGAGAAAUUCAGCGUCCGAUCACAGUGACCUUUCGUUUGACGAAAUUAAUCUGGAAAGAAGGUCGACGGCUAGCUCUGGCUCACCACCUAGCGCAGAAUCUGUUCGUUAAGAUGUAUGACUGUCCCCUGCGGAUGCUGUCUGCAAACGGAAAUACGACCUUGGACCAGGAGCUGGAGGCUGUGGAGCAUUUUGUCCAUACCAUAUCGUAGUAGCUGCAGUGCAUGUAACCUGCAUAUCAUCAGGUCAUGCACAUGUAACAGCGUAGAAACCAGGAAAAGAAAUGGAACUGGUGGAUUUGUGAUCAAUUCAAAAACUGCAAAUGGUAAGAGAUUUAAAUUUUCUCUUUUAGAAUAUCUUUACACAUUUUACUGGGUGGAGAAGGUGUAUGGUUUCAUGUCUUGUAUAAAUGAACCUGCCCCACACCUCUCUUUUUCUUUCUUCAAUUCCCCUCUAUUAUGGUCUGGGGUUUAUGUGGUUUGAGGGUAAAAAGCAUUAUUUUGAGGGGAAGUGCUGCCCAAAUUUUUUAUGAAGCUGGACUUAGUCAUUUUUUUUAAAUUUUGCCCCUGAAAGUUAUUUAUUAUUUUUGCAAUGAACAGAAAGACAUCUAUGCAUAAGGGGCUUAUUAGUUUUGCAUACAAAAGGGGAGGAUUAUUUUGUAAAUAAUUAUUUGGUAGCAAUUUAUCAUAAAUGAAAUUAGAAUUGAAAAAAGAAAACAAAUACAGUCACAACCAUGACAAUGAUUCAUUCACAGAAAUAAAGUUUUACAAACUCAAAAUAUUAGUUGUCUUUAUCUUAUAAUCAGAAUUUUCAUAUUAAUUCAUCUAUUGCAUGUGACCAUAGACCAAACUUGUGGUCUGAUGCCUUACAGAUUUAGUCAUUUAAAACACAUUUAAAACACACCUAGAAUGAUUUGCAGAAUGCAGGAUAAUGCAUGAAGGCACAAAAAAAAAAGGAAGGGGCACCCACCCUCCAUUCCCUCACUCCACAUUAUUAGAAAUUUAUAUGAGUCUGUGAUCUAUAAGAAUAAAAGCAAACAUGAAUUUACAAUCAUAUUAUAUAAAUAUAAAUUAAACAAACAAUUGCAUAUAUUCCAAAUAGAAUUAUGAACUCAAGUAUAAAUAGGUUAUAGUUUAUCUAAUUAACCAAUAUGCAGACUGACAUUUCAUAUCAUAUUUUUCAGGAAUGAUACAUGCAGGAAUUGGUGCCACACAUUUUACCAAUUUCCUUAAUGGUUUUAAUGUACUUUCUGUGAAUUCAUCAACCAUAUAUAAAUAAAAAGGAGAAUGAAACUGGAAAGAAAAUAUUUGCAGUUGCAAAAGAAUCCUGUAAAUUAAUUCAGGAGAAGAAACAGUUUUAAACAUGGUUAAUAUAAUGAGUAGUUGGAAGGUAAUUAAAUCAUUAGUUAUAUAUUUUCAAAGUAUUUUUUUUAUAAUUUUAUAAAGUAGAUAUAAAGUAUAAUGAGGACCAUAAUUAUAUUCAUAUUUGCCCUAGCAGUCAUAAAAAUGAAUUAACAGAUCUUGGUAAUAACUUUUCAAGUUAAGGGUCAAGUUUUCAAAUUAAUUUUGUGGUAAAGCAGUGUUAUAUAUACUUAAAGACCUUCAUGUAUAGAUCAUGACAGAAUUUGUUUCAACAAAAAUAUUGAACUAGAAUUAUUUACAUUUGUAUUUAUUAAAUGAAAUUUAUAUUUAUGGAUAAUUUCAACAAAUUUAAUGAAACCAAAUUAGUUUUGAAAGCCUUUUAUUAUUAUUACAAAUUUAAUUGUUAACAGCCUGAGUUUCCAGUUAAUUUUAAAUGUAAUAUGUCUUAGCUAUAGUAUUUGAACACUGCAUGUUCUUUCAUUUUACAUUUGAUACUACUUUUUUUCAUUAGGUUGAGGCCAGUUUUGUUGCAGAAUGGCAUAUUUUUGGUACUGGUUGGACCUAUGAAAGUAAUACAGGUAAAU
This 2076-nucleotide long non-coding RNA is filed under the name Mytilus galloprovincialis (Mediterranean mussel). The record is from RNAcentral. Lineage: Eukaryota; Metazoa; Mollusca; Bivalvia; Mytilida; Mytilidae.